Phyllostomus discolor (pale spear-nosed bat) is the source of this 182-nucleotide long non-coding RNA. RefSeq lists it as uncharacterized. The record is from RefSeq and is a predicted model, not a curated record. Lineage: Eukaryota; Metazoa; Chordata; Mammalia; Chiroptera; Phyllostomidae. The transcript has 2 exons.
UCCUGGAGAGGGGCCGCCAUCCCGCCCCUGAUCCCGCCCCUCCCCUCCCUUCCUCAUCCCUGGAGUGACGUCGGCCUGCGGUGUGGAGGCCGGAUUCCGGACCCUGAACCCUGCGCUCUGCUCACACCUGUCGUCGCCCCCACGGGUCCCUGCCCACUGCUCCUCGGACUGGACAAACUUAA